RNAcentral lists this ribosomal RNA (301 nucleotides) under uncultured bacterium. RNAcentral describes it as "partial 16S ribosomal RNA". It matches the Rfam family "Bacterial small subunit ribosomal RNA", at positions 509 to 807 of the family's 1533-position model. The record is from RNAcentral.
CAGUAGCCGCGGGAAAACGAAGGGGGCUAGCGUUGUUCGGAAUUACUGGGCGUAAAGCGCACGUAGGCGGAUAUUUAAGUCAGGGGUGAAAUCCCGCAGCUCAACUGCGGAACUGCCUUUGAUACUGGGUAUCUUGAGUAUGGAAGAGGUUAGUGGAAUUGCGAGUGUAGAGGUGAAAUUCGUAGAUAUUCGCAGGAACACCAGUGGCGAAGGCAGCUAACUGGUCCAUAACUGACGCUGAGGUGCGAAAGCGUGGGGAGCAAACAGGAUUAGAUACCCGCGUAGUCCCUGUCUCUUAUAC